GAGUUUGAUUCUGGCUCAGAACGAACGCUGGCGGCGUGCUUAACACAUGCAAGUCGAACGGAAAGGCCCUGCUUUUGUGGGGUGCUCGAGUGGCGAACGGGUGAGUAACACGUGAGUAACCUGCCCUUGACUUUGGGAUAACUUCAGGAAACUGGGGCUAAUACCGGAUAGGAGCUCCUGCUGCAUGGUGGGGGUUGGAAAGUUUCGGCGGUUGGGGAUGGACUCGCGGCUUAUCAGCUUGUUGGUGGGGUAGUGGCUUACCAAGGCUUUGACGGGUAGCCGGCCUGAGAGGGUGACCGGCCACAUUGGGACUGAGAUACGGCCCAGACUCCUACGGGAGGCAGCAGUGGGGAAUAUUGCACAAUGGGCGGAAGCCUGAUGCAGCAACGCCGCGUGCGGGAUGACGGCCUUCGGGUUGUAAACCGCUUUCGCCUGUGACGAAGCGUGAGUGACGGUAAUGGGUAAAGAAGCACCGGCUAACUACGUGCCAGCAGCCGCGGUGAUACGUAGGGUGCGAGCGUUGUCCGGAUUUAUUGGGCGUAAAGGGCUCGUAGGUGGUUGAUCGCGUCGGAAGUGUAAUCUUGGGGCUUAACCCUGAGCGUGCUUUCGAUACGGGUUGACUUGAGGAAGGUAGGGGAGAAUGGAAUUCCUGGUGGAGCGGUGGAAUGCGCAGAUAUCAGGAGGAACACCAGUGGCGAAGGCGGUUCUCUGGGCCUUUCCUGACGCUGAGGAGCGAAAGCGUGGGGAGCGAACAGGCUUAGAUACUCCUGGUAGUCCACGCUGUAAACGGUGGGUACUAGGGUGUGGGGUCCAUUCCACGGGUUCGGUGCCCGUACGCUAACGCUUUAAGUACCUCGCCCUGGGGAGUACGGGCCGCAAGGCUAAACCUCAAUGAAUUGACGGGGG
RNAcentral lists this ribosomal RNA (906 nucleotides) under uncultured Actinomycetes bacterium. RNAcentral's name for it is "bacterial SSU rRNA". It matches the Rfam family "Bacterial small subunit ribosomal RNA", at positions 9 to 919 of the family's 1533-position model. The record is from RNAcentral. Lineage: Bacteria; Bacillati; Actinomycetota; Actinomycetes.